This 372-nucleotide unclassified non-coding RNA is filed under the name Hevea brasiliensis (rubber tree). The record is from RNAcentral. Lineage: Eukaryota; Viridiplantae; Streptophyta; Magnoliopsida; Malpighiales; Euphorbiaceae.
UUGUACAAGUGUUUAUGAAGAAGGAGAUGCUCGAUCUGCAUUAAUCACCAUGCUUCAAUCUCUUCAACAUGCUAAAAAUGGUGUUGACAUAGUCUCUGAAACACGUGUUAAGACUCAUUUUGCUAGACCUAAUUGGCGUAAAGUUUUCAAGCAUGUAGCUGUUAAUUAUCCUGAUCAAAGAGUUGGAGUGUUUUAUUGUGGUGCACCUGGAUUGACCGGAGAACUAAGAAGGCUAGCUCAAGACUUUUCCAGGAAAACUACUACCAAGUUUGAUUUUCAUAAAGAGAAUUUCUAAUAAAUUAUUUUUUAAAAAUAAAUAUAUUUUUUUAAAAUGUAAUUUUGCCCCUUUUUUUUUCUUAUAUACUUAAAAAA